UGGCUCAGAUUGAACGCUGGCGGCAGGCCUAACACAUGCAAGUCGAGCGGAAACGACUUAACUGAACCUUCGGGGAACGUUAAGGGCGUCGAGCGGCGGACGGGUGAGUAAUGCCUGGGAAUAUGCCUUAGUGUGGGGGAUAACUAUUGGAAACGAUAGCUAAUACCGCAUAAUGUCUUCGGACCAAAGAGGGGGACCUUCGGGCCUCUCGCGCUAAGAUUAGCCCAGGUGAGAUUAGCUAGUUGGUGAGGUAAGAGCUCACCAAGGCGACGAUCUCUAGCUGGUCUGAGAGGAUGAUCAGCCACACUGGAACUGAGACACGGUCCAGACUCCUACGGGAGGCAGCAGUGGGGAAUAUUGCACAAUGGGCGAAAGCCUGAUGCAGCCAUGCCGCGUGUAUGAAGAAGGCCUUCGGGUUGUAAAGUACUUUCAGUAGGGAGGAAGGUUCAUACGUUAAUAGCGUAUGGAUUUGACGUUACCUACAGAAGAAGCACCGGCUAACUCCGUGCCAGCAGCCGCGGUAAUACGGAGGGUGCGAGCGUUAAUCGGAAUUACUGGGCGUAAAGCGCAUGCAGGUGGUUCAUUAAGUCAGAUGUGAAAGCCCGGGGCUCAACCUCGGAACCGCAUUUGAAACUGGUGAACUAGAGUGCUGUAGAGGGGGGUAGAAUUUCAGGUGUAGCG
This 681-nucleotide ribosomal RNA is filed under the name Vibrio sp. HM6-39. RNAcentral's name for it is "bacterial SSU rRNA". It matches the Rfam family "Bacterial small subunit ribosomal RNA", at positions 20 to 680 of the family's 1533-position model. Lineage: Bacteria; Pseudomonadati; Pseudomonadota; Gammaproteobacteria; Vibrionales; Vibrionaceae. The record is from RNAcentral.